UACAGAGGUCUCAAGCGUUGUUCGGAUUCAUUGGGCGUAAAGGGUGUGUAGGUGGCGCCGUUAGUCGGGUGUGAAAUUUCGGAGCUUAACUCCGAAACUGCAUUCGAUACUGCGGUGCUUGAGGACUGGAGAGGAGAAUGGAAUUCCUGGUGUAGCGGUGAAAUGCGCAGAUAUCAGGAAGAACACCCGUGGCGAAGGCGGUUCUCUGGGACGGUACUGACGCUGAGACGCGAAAGCGUGGGGAGCGAACAGG
This 253-nucleotide ribosomal RNA is filed under the name uncultured bacterium. Its description in RNAcentral is "partial 16S ribosomal RNA". It matches the Rfam family "Bacterial small subunit ribosomal RNA", at positions 524 to 776 of the family's 1533-position model. The record is from RNAcentral.